AGGGGCAAAACUGGCUGGGGACGUGCAUGGCGAGCCCCCCGGCAGAGGGCCCCUCACUUGGCCCGAGUGUGUGGAGGCCGUGGCCAUAAACAAUGAACUUUGAACCCCCCCGCCCCUUCCCUAUGUAUACAUUAUCUGUCAAGUUGAUGGUGUAAAUAGUUUGAAGACGUCGUUUGUACGCUGCUGUGUAUAUAUGUGAACCACUCGACCCACUAUAGAUGUAGAUAUAGUGCCGCUUGGGAUGGGGAGCUGGAUGCUGGCGCCCACCAUGUGUCCACUUCAGAGCUGCUUUAAAGUACGAGGGGCCCCACCCUCACGUCCAUGAGUCAUGAACAACCUCUGUGAUCCCUCCUAAUGAUAAUAUAUAACUUGUAUAUUUUGCACACUAACUUAUUAUCCAUGUCUCCCUAUGGUGAGCCUCUAUUGUUGUUGUCCGACCCCACCCCUCCCAUAAAUAAACAUUCCAAUUCAAUCA
Hippocampus comes (tiger tail seahorse) is the source of this 475-nucleotide long non-coding RNA. RefSeq lists it as uncharacterized. The record is from RefSeq and is a predicted model, not a curated record. Lineage: Eukaryota; Metazoa; Chordata; Actinopteri; Syngnathiformes; Syngnathidae. The transcript has 2 exons.